Molecule: non-coding RNA, 30 nt
Filed under: Homo sapiens (human)
Lineage: Eukaryota; Metazoa; Chordata; Mammalia; Primates; Hominidae
Source: RNAcentral
UCCACUAGCCCUUUCUCUGUGAGUCACGUG